This 460-nucleotide ribosomal RNA is filed under the name uncultured bacterium. RNAcentral describes it as "partial 16S ribosomal RNA". It matches the Rfam family "Bacterial small subunit ribosomal RNA", at positions 338 to 795 of the family's 1533-position model. The record is from RNAcentral.
CCUACGAGCGGCAGCAGUGAGGAAUAUUGGUCAAUGGACGAGAGUCUGAACCAGCCAAGUAGCGUGAAGGAUGACUGCCCUAUGGGUUUUAAACUUCUUUUAUAAAGGAAUAAAACGAGGCACGUGUGCCUUUUUGCAUGUACUUUAUGAAUAAGGAUCGGCUAACUCCGUGCCAGCAGCCGCGGUAAUACGGAGGAUCCGAGCGUUAUCCGGAUUUAUUGGGUUUAAAUGGCACGUAGAUGGGUUGUUAAGUCAGUUGUGAAAGUUUGCGGCUCAACCGUAAAAUUGCAAUUGAUACUGGCAGUCUUGAGUACAGUUGAGGUAGGCGGAAUUCGUGGUGUAGCGGUGAAAUGCGUAGAUAGCACGAAGAACCCCGAUUGCGAAGGCAGCUUACUAGACUGUGACUGACAUUGAUGCUCGAAAGUGUGGGUAUCAAACAGGAUUAGAUACCCGGGUAGUC